RNAcentral lists this long non-coding RNA (1269 nucleotides) under Rhinopithecus roxellana (golden snub-nosed monkey). Its description in RNAcentral is "lncRNA (ENSRROG00000046074.1)". Lineage: Eukaryota; Metazoa; Chordata; Mammalia; Primates; Cercopithecidae. The record is from RNAcentral.
UGCUCCCAUUAAAGCUGCUACAACUCCAAAGGAGUCUUCCACUCUCAGGGGAAGUGCUGGAGACCUUAGGCCCUUUGGUUGGAUUCUUGGGGAUAGAGAGCACACGACAGAUCCCCCUCCAGAUCCUGCUGUCCCAUCUCAGUCAGCUGCAGGGUUUCUGCCUAGGAGAGACAUUUGCCACAGACCUGGGAUGGCUGCUAUUGCAGGAGUCUGUUCUUGGGUAUGGAUCUUCGAGAACUUCAGAUUCUAACUCAUUCUGUACCCAAUCCUUCAACCACCAUCAUCAGUGGCAGCCUGUUCCAUAUUCUUAAGAUCCCUUGGAGCCCUGUGUCCCAAAUCUGAGCAUGUCCUCUUUUCCCCCUCCUUUUCCUCACAGUUCCCUCAGCUCCCCAGCCCCCGAUUUUCUUCCUGUCCCCAGGAAACCAGAGUUGUGGAGCCAGGAUGAAGUAGAGCAAGCUGGACGCCUAGUAUUCACUCUGUCUACUGAGGCAAUUUCCUUGAUCCCCAGGGUGAGAUGAAGGAAGAAGGGAAGGGAGUAAAUGCAUAGAGGGGACUGGUGAGCUGGUUAUGAGGACCCAUGGCCAAAGAGGGCAAAGGAUAUGAAGCCUAGAUCUGGGGGGAGACUGCGAAACAGAGACAGGACUUUGGAAUUAUAGCUACAGCAGCAGGCCCUGAUCUGUCCAGAUCUCCCCACUCUCCUUCUACCUUCUCAUGCAGGAGGCCUUGGGUCCAGAGACCCUGGAGCGGCUUCUAGAAAAGCAGCAGAGCUGGGAGCAGAGCACAGUUGGACAGCUGUGUAGGUGGCCACAGCUGGCUGCCAAGAAAGCAGCCCUGGUAGCAGGGGUGAUGUGACCAGCUGCUGAGGAUCUUCCAGAACCUGUGCCAAAUUGUGCAGAUGUACGAGGGACAUUCCCAGCAGCCUGGUCUGCAACCCAGAUUGCAGAGAUGAAGCUCUCAGACUUUGAGGACUGCCUGACACUAUUUGCAAAAGAUGCAGGACUUGGGCCCAAGGAAUUGUGGGCAGCCAUGGGCAAAGCAAAACAGUUGUGGGGUCCCCCCCGGGGAUUUCGUCCUGAGCAGAUCCUGCAGCUCGGUUGGCUCUUAAUAGGUCUAGGAGAUCGGGAACUACAGGAGCUGAUCCUAGUGGACUGGGGAGUACUCAGCACCCUGGGGCAGAUAGAUGGCUGGAGCUCCACUCAGGUAACACCUUUCCUCCUCCCUACCACUUCCCAAACACCCAUCCCACAGACCCAGCCCUGUAGAUCAUCU